GCGGUGUGGUCCGGCUGGGACCCGACGCCUCCGGCGUGCUGCGGGCGCGGCUCACGCUCGACGACGCCCGCGAUCUCGCCGCGGCCGUUGCC
Molecule: transfer RNA, 92 nt
Filed under: Zhihengliuella salsuginis
Lineage: Bacteria; Bacillati; Actinomycetota; Actinomycetes; Micrococcales; Micrococcaceae
Description: tRNA-Arg
Source: RNAcentral